AGGUGCGAUCAUACUAGCACUAAUGCUCCGGAUCCCAUCAGAACUCUGCAGUUAAGCGUGCUUGGGCGAGAAUAGUACUAGGAUGGGUGACCUCUUGGGAAGUCCUCGUGUUGCCCCUC
This is a ribosomal RNA of Cajanus cajan (pigeon pea), 119 nucleotides long. The record is from Rfam. Lineage: Eukaryota; Viridiplantae; Streptophyta; Magnoliopsida; Fabales; Fabaceae.